RNAcentral lists this ribosomal RNA (2930 nucleotides) under Escherichia coli. RNAcentral describes it as "bacterial LSU rRNA". It matches the Rfam family "Bacterial large subunit ribosomal RNA". Lineage: Bacteria; Pseudomonadati; Pseudomonadota; Gammaproteobacteria; Enterobacterales; Enterobacteriaceae. The record is from RNAcentral.
GGGUUGUGAGGUUAAGCGACUAAGCGUACACGGUGGAUGCCCUGGCAGUCAGAGGCGAUGAAGGACGUGCUAAUCUGCGAUAAGCGUCGGUAAGGUGAUAUGAACCGUUAUAACCGGCGAUUUCCGAAUGGGGAAACCCAGUGUGUUUCGACACACUAUCAUUAACUGAAUCCAUAGGUUAAUGAGGCGAACCGGGGGAACUGAAACAUCUAAGUACCCCGAGGAAAAGAAAUCAACCGAGAUUCCCCCAGUAGCGGCGAGCGAACGGGGAGCAGCCCAGAGCCUGAAUCAGUGUGUGUGUUAGUGGAAGCGUCUGGAAAGGCGCGCGAUACAGGGUGACAGCCCCGUACACAAAAAUGCACAUGCUGUGAGCUCGAUGAGUAGGGCGGGACACGUGGUAUCCUGUCUGAAUAUGGGGGGACCAUCCUCCAAGGCUAAAUACUCCUGACUGACCGAUAGUGAACCAGUACCGUGAGGGAAAGGCGAAAAGAACCCCGGCGAGGGGAGUGAAAAAGAACCUGAAACCGUGUACGUACAAGCAGUGGGAGCACGCUUAGGCGUGUGACUGCGUACCUUUUGUAUAAUGGGUCAGCGACUUAUAUUCUGUAGCAAGGUUAACCGAAUAGGGGAGCCGAAGGGAAACCGAGUCUUAACUGGGCGUUAAGUUGCAGGGUAUAGACCCGAAACCCGGUGAUCUAGCCAUGGGCAGGUUGAAGGUUGGGUAACACUAACUGGAGGACCGAACCGACUAAUGUUGAAAAAUUAGCGGAUGACUUGUGGCUGGGGGUGAAAGGCCAAUCAAACCGGGAGAUAGCUGGUUCUCCCCGAAAGCUAUUUAGGUAGCGCCUCGUGAAUUCAUCUCCGGGGGUAGAGCACUGUUUCGGCAAGGGGGUCAUCCCGACUUACCAACCCGAUGCAAACUGCGAAUACCGGAGAAUGUUAUCACGGGAGACACACGGCGGGUGCUAACGUCCGUCGUGAAGAGGGAAACAACCCAGACCGCCAGCUAAGGUCCCAAAGUCAUGGUUAAGUGGGAAACGAUGUGGGAAGGCCCAGACAGCCAGGAUGUUGGCUUAGAAGCAGCCAUCAUUUAAAGAAAGCGUAAUAGCUCACUGGUCGAGUCGGCCUGCGCGGAAGAUGUAACGGGGCUAAACCAUGCACCGAAGCUGCGGCAGCGACGCUUAUGCGUUGUUGGGUAGGGGAGCGUUCUGUAAGCCUGCGAAGGUGUGCUGUGAGGCAUGCUGGAGGUAUCAGAAGUGCGAAUGCUGACAUAAGUAACGAUAAAGCGGGUGAAAAGCCCGCUCGCCGGAAGACCAAGGGUUCCUGUCCAACGUUAAUCGGGGCAGGGUGAGUCGACCCCUAAGGCGAGGCCGAAAGGCGUAGUCGAUGGGAAACAGGUUAAUAUUCCUGUACUUGGUGUUACUGCGAAGGGGGGACGGAGAAGGCUAUGUUGGCCGGGCGACGGUUGUCCCGGUUUAAGCGUGUAGGCUGGUUUUCCAGGCAAAUCCGGAAAAUCAAGGCUGAGGCGUGAUGACGAGGCACUACGGUGCUGAAGCAACAAAUGCCCUGCUUCCAGGAAAAGCCUCUAAGCAUCAGGUAACAUCAAAUCGUACCCCAAACCGACACAGGUGGUCAGGUAGAGAAUACCAAGGCGCUUGAGAGAACUCGGGUGAAGGAACUAGGCAAAAUGGUGCCGUAACUUCGGGAGAAGGCACGCUGAUAUGUAGGUGAAGUCCCUCGCGGAUGGAGCUGAAAUCAGUCGAAGAUACCAGCUGGCUGCAACUGUUUAUUAAAAACACAGCACUGUGCAAACACGAAAGUGGACGUAUACGGUGUGACGCCUGCCCGGUGCCGGAAGGUUAAUUGAUGGGGUUAGCGCAAGCGAAGCUCUUGAUCGAAGCCCCGGUAAACGGCGGCCGUAACUAUAACGGUCCUAAGGUAGCGAAAUUCCUUGUCGGGUAAGUUCCGACCUGCACGAAUGGCGUAAUGAUGGCCAGGCUGUCUCCACCCGAGACUCAGUGAAAUUGAACUCGCUGUGAAGAUGCAGUGUACCCGCGGCAAGACGGAAAGACCCCGUGAACCUUUACUAUAGCUUGACACUGAACAUUGAGCCUUGAUGUGUAGGAUAGGUGGGAGGCUUUGAAGUGUGGACGCCAGUCUGCAUGGAGCCGACCUUGAAAUACCACCCUUUAAUGUUUGAUGUUCUAACGUUGACCCGUAAUCCGGGUUGCGGACAGUGUCUGGUGGGUAGUUUGACUGGGGCGGUCUCCUCCUAAAGAGUAACGGAGGAGCACGAAGGUUGGCUAAUCCUGGUCGGACAUCAGGAGGUUAGUGCAAUGGCAUAAGCCAGCUUGACUGCGAGCGUGACGGCGCGAGCAGGUGCGAAAGCAGGUCAUAGUGAUCCGGUGGUUCUGAAUGGAAGGGCCAUCGCUCAACGGAUAAAAGGUACUCCGGGGAUAACAGGCUGAUACCGCCCAAGAGUUCAUAUCGACGGCGGUGUUUGGCACCUCGAUGUCGGCUCAUCACAUCCUGGGGCUGAAGUAGGUCCCAAGGGUAUGGCUGUUCGCCAUUUAAAGUGGUACGCGAGCUGGGUUUAGAACGUCGUGAGACAGUUCGGUCCCUAUCUGCCGUGGGCGCUGGAGAACUGAGGGGGGCUGCUCCUAGUACGAGAGGACCGGAGUGGACGCAUCACUGGUGUUCGGGUUGUCAUGCCAAUGGCACUGCCCGGUAGCUAAAUGCGGAAGAGAUAAGUGCUGAAAGCAUCUAAGCACGAAACUUGCCCCGAGAUGAGUUCUCCCUGACCCUUUAAGGGUCCUGAAGGAACGUUGAAGACGACGACGUUGAUAGGCCGGGUGUGUAAGCGCAGCGAUGCGUUGAGCUAACCGGUACUAAUGAACCGUGAGGCUUAACCUUACAACGCCGAAGCUGUU